AUACCAGCACCCCGAGUUGUCGGGACGAUUAUUGGGCCUAAAGCAUCCGUAGCCUGUUCUGCAAGUCCUCCGUUAAAUCCACCUGCUUAACGGAUGGGCUGCGGGGGAUACCGCAGAGCUAGGAGGCGGGAGAGGCAAACGGUACUCAGUGGGUAGGGGUAAAAUCCAUUGAUCCACUGAAGACCACCAGUGGCGAAGGCGGCUUGCCAGAACGCGCUCGACGGUGAGGGAUGAAAGCUGGGGGAGCAAACCGGAUUAGAUACCCGGGUAGUCCCAGCUGUAAACGAUGCAGACUCGGUGAUGGGUUGGCCUUGUGCCAACCCAGUGCCGCAGGGAAGCCGUUAAGUCUGCCGCCUGGGGAGUACGGUCGCAAGACUGAAACUUAAAUGAAUUGGCGGGG
This 400-nucleotide ribosomal RNA is filed under the name uncultured bacterium. RNAcentral's name for it is "partial 16S ribosomal RNA". It matches the Rfam family "Archaeal small subunit ribosomal RNA", at positions 473 to 873 of the family's 1478-position model. The record is from RNAcentral.